ACCUCAAGCUGAUAAUUUUGAUGACAUUAAUUAUUGGGCAACAGUAUAUUCUUAAGGCAUUCCUAAAAUAUUUCCCACCCUGUCCUUCCCCAGUAGGUUUGUAGUUACUUGUUCCUGCUUGCGAAUUCAAACUUGUCAUUCCAUCAGCUUGAUUCCUGGGAGAAGAGGUGAAAUUGAGACAUUGCAACACAUCCUGGACAGAGGAAAAAAUCUACGAGGUGUUCCUUUAAAAAUGUUUUAUUUCCACUCAACAUGAAGAUCUGAACUGAAAAUCAACAGGCAUUGACAUCAACUGAGGAAAAUAUGACUUUGAUCACUUUUGAUACUAUAGAAACUCAAACACCUAGAGUCUGCAUACAAGGCACUCCACAAACAAAUUGUUGAAAAUACAAGCAAGACCUGACACAUCAGAACAUAAAGAGGAAAAUGUGACUCAGAACCACGCUAAUGCUGAGUGAACCAAACUCUGAACUUCCAGGAAGUUCGCAGUGAGGCAGACGUGCUCUUGCAGAAGGAUGGUGAUGUGGAACUGGGAAGAGUUGCUGCAUAACUGUGACUGUACGGCAUUUUAACAUCAAUGCCACGAAUCCCGAGCCAGAUGCAUUCAAGUCUUCGCCUGUGGCUUGAUGACACAUACCCUUUUCACAACAAUCAGUGGAUUUGUGGUAACAAUCAAAAGGCAUUUAAAAUGCUUGGAAUUUGGUUUAGAAACCCGCCUUGGCAUCCCGCUUUUCAUGUCUUAGCAUAAAUGCCUGAACUGUUUUUAUUGUUCAGCAACUGCUCAUUUAUUCUGAAAGAAAGCUCUUGGCCUGCCGUAUUUGCAUUCAACAAUACUUGAAACAAGACGUUAAAGACUUUUUUUGUUUAUGCCGGUGAAAUAUUUCAGAUGAAUAAUGCCAACUGCUGGGUCAGACCUUUUGGUUUUAAGUAAGAGUUUAUUCCAGGCUUGCUAACAGAGAGGGUUUUCUUUUUUUUUUUUUUUUUAGAGAGAGAGUUUCUGAUAAACCGCCAGCUUGGAAAUAUGUCGCAGAACUGGAAUGCCUUUUUGGUUUAUAUUGCAGCUGUACCAAAUUUGUAAUAUAUUUCUGAUUUCUUUUCCCUUUAUGACUCUAUUUCAACUGUUUAUGUAAUUAAUUAAUUUACAGUUGAUGAAAAUCUACAUAACUACUUUCAAUAAAAACCAAGAAAAGAGCAAUGUUAAUGUGAAACACAUUUAUGAGAAAAUCUUCUCUUUUUCGGGGGGAGGAAGGGACAAGGCAGAAACAUACUUACAGUUAUGGACAGACAAGAUAUUAUCUGAUGUGUUUAAAAGACAGAUUGACAUAUCGAUUAGUAGACCAGUAGUUCAACAGAAAGAAGAAGAGUGCCCUAUCCAGUCUUAAAUUUCAUACAAAAUAUGUUUUAGCACUGACAGCCACCAAUAAGUUUUAUCUCCUCUGGAUUUUGCUUUAUUUGGCAAUUAGCAGAUAAGAAUAAUUUUCUAGAUUUUAAGAAGUGAGGAAUCAGUGUAAGAAUUGGUAAGCCUUGUUAAGAUGACAGAAGAGAUUGUUUAUCAAUAGAGGGAAGUUUGGUUUAUGUAGAUAAACUUUAUAAAAAAAAAUAAAUUUCUCCUGUAAAGUAAAACAAGUCUUGGACAGUUUAUAUGCCCAAAUAUUUCCCUUCUGAUGUAGAGAAUGGGAUCAUCAACUUUUAUGAAUUCACUACAGAAUGAAACUCAUCUCUUUUAAACCAGAGGACCAGUGCAGGAGGAACCACAAUCGUUGUUAUCACUCUGUAUCAUUGAGAUUUAAGUCAAACAUAUGGGCUAUUGACUAAUGGAGUCAGUUUGACUUGGGGCAUC
Gallus gallus (chicken) is the source of this 1840-nucleotide long non-coding RNA. RefSeq lists it as uncharacterized. The transcript is spliced from 4 exons. The record is from RefSeq and is a predicted model, not a curated record. Lineage: Eukaryota; Metazoa; Chordata; Aves; Galliformes; Phasianidae.